Long non-coding RNA from Medicago truncatula (barrel medic), 827 nucleotides. RefSeq lists it as uncharacterized. The transcript is spliced from 3 exons. The record is from RefSeq and is a predicted model, not a curated record. NCBI's taxonomy places the organism in Eukaryota, Viridiplantae, Streptophyta, Magnoliopsida, Fabales, Fabaceae.
UAGGAUUUAUGUAUUUUAUUUAACUCUUUUGAUUUCUAUGUGUGAUAUUGAGUGUCGAAACAAACUAACUUAAUUAUGCACAGAUAAUCCAACAAUUGAAUUUGUACCAAAUGUUACAAAGAUUUUGGUGGAUCCUGACAUAUCGGAAGUACGAUCUUUUAAGUAUAGAAUGCAUGUUAUUGGAUUUGAUUGUACAUCUCCCAUGAAUGUUCUAUGUUCAAUUCCAAAUGAGACAUACCAGGAAGAUCUUCUUCAAAAAUAUCCUAGAAAAACUAUUGAAGAGCUGAAGACCUCUACGGAUGACGGAGAUUUUGUCGUUGUUGGAAGUAUUGCUGAUUUUGUGAAUGGAGAGAAUUGGUGGUUUCCUUCUUUUGAAUGCACAAACAUUCUGAAUCGAUGUUCUAGGUCGAAAUAUUGCACUGAUUGUGUUAUGAGUGUUCUUCCAUUUAAACCAAAAUAGAGUGGAAGUUCGACUUUUUUGUUCAUCCCAUUGACUUUUAUCUUCAAGGUUGAAAAAAAGAAACUUGUGAAUUCUGUCAAUGGGGGCUAUUUUAAUGUGAGGAAAAUUUGUGGUGAUAUUAAGCCUUUGGUAAUGUUUCUUAUAUCCAAGCUUAUGUAGAACAAUGUCAUGUCCACAUCAAAGGGAUUUUGUGAUGCUUGUUGUUUAGGAUUUUUUUGGUUGGGUGGAUCACUAUGGAUGCUUCUCAGCUUGGAAUUUAUAUUUUGAGGGAAAGCUUGGAAACUAUAUGUAUUCCUUUUUUUUAGAUUUGUAUUUGUACUUAUAUUUAAGUUUGCUUAUCUGUGCUAUUUGUAUUUUUUAUUUUCUU